GUAGGGUGCAAGCGUUAAUCGGAAUUACUGGGCGUAAAGCGUGCGCAGGCGGUUUUGUAAGACAGUGGUGAAAUCCCCGGGCUCAACCUGGGAACUGCCAUUGUGACUGCAAGGCUGGAGUGCGGCAGAGGGGGAUGGAAUUCCGCGUGUAGCAGUGAAAUGCGUAGAUAUGCGGAGGAACACCGAUGGCGAAGGCAAUCCCCUGGGCCUGCACUGACGCUCAUGCACGAAAGCGUGGGGAGCAAACAGGAUUAGAUACCCUGGUAGUCCCACGCCCCUAAACGAUGUCAACUGGUUGUUGGGAAUUUAUUUUCUCAGUAACGAAGCUAACGCGUGAAGUUGACCGCCUGGGAGUACGGCCGCAAGGUUA
This 370-nucleotide ribosomal RNA is filed under the name uncultured organism. RNAcentral describes it as "partial 16S ribosomal RNA". It matches the Rfam family "Bacterial small subunit ribosomal RNA", at positions 527 to 896 of the family's 1533-position model. The record is from RNAcentral.